GCCAGGCACGGUGGCACGUGCCUGUAGUCCCAGCUACUCGUGAGGCUAAGGCUGGAGGAUCUCUUGAGUCCAGGAGUUCUGGGCUGUAGUGCUAUGCUGAUCCAGUGUCCGCACUAAGUUCACCAUCAAUAUGGUGACCUCCCGGGAGCAGGGGACCACCAGGUUGCCUAAGGAGGGGUGAACCGGCCCAGGUCAGAAACGGAACAGGUCAAAACUCCCGUGCUGAUCAGUAGUGGGAUCGCGCCUGUGAAUGGUCACUGCACUCCAGCCUGGGCAAUGUUGAGAGACCCUGUCUCU
RNAcentral lists this signal recognition particle RNA (297 nucleotides) under Aotus nancymaae (Ma's night monkey). Its description in RNAcentral is "Metazoan signal recognition particle RNA (ENSANAG00000012551.1)". It matches the Rfam family "Metazoan signal recognition particle RNA". Rfam says of the family: The signal recognition particle (SRP) is a universally conserved ribonucleoprotein. It is involved in the co-translational targeting of proteins to membranes. Lineage: Eukaryota; Metazoa; Chordata; Mammalia; Primates; Aotidae. The record is from RNAcentral.